RNAcentral lists this long non-coding RNA (752 nucleotides) under Mustela putorius furo (domestic ferret). Its description in RNAcentral is "lncRNA (ENSMPUG00000024466.1)". The record is from RNAcentral. Lineage: Eukaryota; Metazoa; Chordata; Mammalia; Carnivora; Mustelidae.
AUGUGUUUAGUACCAACUACCUGCAAGAUGGCUCCUGGAGGCUUCACGGUGGACAGGAUUCUGGAAGUACUCAGAACUGAGGCCCCGUGGACGUCUGUUUUCCGAGAAAUAAAUUGGAACUUGCUCUGGGUGCACCCUCCCCGGCCCAGUCUGCUCCCCUCCUUUGGUCUCACCACUUCUCUCUAGUGCACUCCCACACUGUUCAAGAGGCCGUGCUUCAUGGCUGGGACAGAAUGGAAAUAGUCAAGCAAGAAGUAAUAGCCAAGCAGGGAGAAGGAAGAUCUUGCCCUUGAUUGGCUCUUCUCCAUAAGCCUCAGAGAUGUGGGUCAAUCAAGUAAGUCCCAUGUACCGAUAUUUUUCAUUCUGUACCACUUGAAAGCAUUUCCUGAGUCCUCUUACAGGAAUAAUAGUCUAGUGGUCUUUACAUAGUAUACUGGUCUUCUUAUAUUUCUGUCUCUCCGAAUGGCUUAACUGUAUGAUUUUCGCCCACUCAACUCUGCUGACAGUUUAAACUAAGAGUUAACUACUGAACCCUGAUAUAUUUGAGAGUGUGUUUACCUUGGAAUUAUUCUGAAGGCAAUAACAAAAAUAAAAAAUCUGCUGGGAAAAUACAGUAGUAACGCAACGGGUGGUGAGAGUGAAUGUGUAAACACACUUUUUUGUUUUCAAAUGCUCCAUUCCCCACAAGACAUCCCCAGAGCUGAGGAGUUUGGGGAGUUCUGGGGAUGUACAUAUUGGUUGCUCAUGUAGGG